Long non-coding RNA from Homo sapiens (human), 1858 nucleotides. Ensembl annotates it as family with sequence similarity 86, member A pseudogene. Its record names the gene FAM86B3P. The record is from Ensembl. Lineage: Eukaryota; Metazoa; Chordata; Mammalia; Primates; Hominidae.
AGGGUUUUGAGAGCCGCUUCCUAGUGGCGCGCACACUGCGCUCCUUCCCCUGGCAGGUGGGCGGCGGGGCGAGCGGAGAGGCCCGCGGGGCUCGCGGAGUCCAGGGGCAGACGGGAUGGGUCUCCGUGCUGAAACCCCCGGCGCUCCUGCCACAGCUUAGAGGCAAAGUUAAGAGACUCAUCAGAUUCUGAGCUGCUGCAGGAUAUUUUGCAGAAGACUGUGAGGCAUCCUGUGUGUGUGAAGCACCCGCCGUCAGUCAAGUAUGCCUGGUGCUUUCUCUCAGAACUCAUCAAAAAGCACGAGGCUGUCCACACGGAGCCUUUGGAUGAGCUGUACGAGGCGCUGGCGGAGACCCUGAUGGCCAAGGAGUCCCCCCAGGGCCACCGGAGCUAUUUGUUGCCCUCGGGAGGCUCGGUCACACUCUCCGAAAGCAUGGCCAUCAUCUCCCACAGCACCACGGGUCUGGUCACAUGGGAUGCCGCCCUCUACAUUGCAGAAUGGGCCAUCGAGAACCCGGCAGCCUUCACUCACAGGUCUGUCUUAGAGCUUGGCAGUGGUGCCAGCCUCACAGGCCUGGCCAUCUGCAAGAUAUGCCGCCCCCGGGCAUACAUCUUCAGCGACUGUCACAGCCGAGUCCUCGAGCAGCUCCAAGGAAAUGUCCUUCUCAAUGGCCUCUCAUUAGAGGCAGACAUCACUGCCAACUUAGACAGCCCUAGGGUGACAAUGGCCCAGCGCUGGACUGGGACGUAGUGACGGUCCAUCAGCGCUCUGCCUUCCAGCUAGAUGUUGUCAUUGCAGCAGAUGUGCUGUAUUGCCCAGAAGCCAUUGUGUCACUGGUCAGGGUCCUGCGGAGGCUGGCUGCCUGCCGGGAGCACCAGCGGGCUUCUGAGGUCUACGUGGCCUUCGCUGUCCGCAAUUGAGAGACGUGCCAGCUGUUCACCACCGAGCUAGAAAGUUCCCCUAAAGCCCUGAGGAAUCACCGAAUGAAAGGGGCUUUUUACAAACAGGAAACUUAAGUGGAGUGCCAAUACACAACAUGGAUUGCAGCAGGCUCGGUCUAAGAUAAAACCAGACGGUGGACAACAGGCCAGGUUUUUGCUUGUCUGAUGACUGAUGGCUCCACCCAGACCUGCCAACCACUCCCGCGGCCCCAUCCAGAAGUGGCUCAGCGUGCAUGAGGACCAUCUCCAACAUCCCUGUGAUUGUACCCCCAACCAACCAGCAGCAAGAACCUAUUGCCUAGUCACCUCCCCUCUCUUUCCCCAACUAUCAUUGAAAAAGUCUGGCUUCCAAAUUUUCCGGGAGACUGAUUUGGGUAAUAAUAAAACUCCAGUCUUCUGUUCAGCCAGCUCUGCAUGAAUUAAGCUCUUUCUCUAUUGCAAUUUUCCUGUCUUGAUAAAUUGUCUCUACCUGGGCAGGGGGCAAAAUGAACCCAUAGGGUGGUUACAGUACCUUGCUGGGUCACUUGAUAUUCCUGGAGGGUCACGGGAAGCGCUAUGUGAAUCCCACUUCUGAUAUUGUAAGAUUCUCUCCAGGGCCUGAAAGCUUAAGGGGUUGAGCAACUCCUCCCUUCUCAGGCCCAGCCCCAGGGCGCAAGGCCGCUUGCAUCAGCAGCGUGCGUGAGCAGAUGCGCCAGCAAGAUAGCAAAAGCAGGAAGAGAGCCAGCCGGAAGACAAGUACCUCUGAAGAUGGAGAAAGAGGCCAUCUGGGUACAACGUUGCAGUUACGUCAGACCAGGACACUUCCUGUUUACAGGAGACUAUAAAACCUUUGCCCCAUCCUCACUUGGGGCUGACGCCGUUUUAGGCCUCAGCCCGCCAGCACCCAGGCUCUCAUUAAAACAGCAUGUUGCUCCACA